UUUUUUCAAGCAGAAGACGGCAUACGAGAUAAAGGAAUGUGACUGGAGUUCAGACGUGUGCUCUUCCGAUCUAACACACUUGCUGUGGGAGCUUUUGGGGGUGGCACAGACCAGGGGGUAGCGACUGUUUACCAAAAACACAGGUGCAUGCGAAGGCGCAAGCCGCUGUAUAUGCACUGACGCCUGCCCGGUGCCGGAAGGUUAAGAGGAUCCGUCAGCCUUCGGGUGAAGCGGUGAAUUCAAGCCCCGGUAAACGGCGGUGGUAACUAUAACCAUCCUAAGGUAGCGAAAUUCCUUGUCGGGUAAGUUCCGACCUGCACGAAUGGCGUAACGACUUCCCCACUGUCUCGACCAGGAGCUCGGCGAAAUUGCAGUACGAGUAAAGAUGCUCGUUAAGCGCAGAAGGACGAAAAGACCCCGGGACCUUUACUAUACCUUGGUAUUGGCGUUAGGCGCGGAUUGUGUAGCAUAGGCGGGAGGCUUCGAGGCGGGUGCGCCAGCAUCCGCGGAGCCGCAAGGUGAAAUACCGCUCUGUUCUCGUUUGACGUCUAACCUCGAACAGUCAUCCUGUUCAGGGACAGUGCCUGGCGGGUAGUUUAACUGGGGCGGUUGCCUCCCAAAGAGUAACGGAGGCGCCCAAAGGUCCGCUCAGCCCGGUUGGCAAUCGGGUGGCGAGUGCAAGUGCACAAGCGGGCUUGACUGCGAGGACGACGGUCCGAGCAGGGACGAAAGUCGGGACUAGUGAUCCGGUGCCGGUGUACGGACGCGGCAUCGCUCAACGGAUAAAAGGUACCCCGGGGAUAACAGGCUGAUCAUUCCCAAGAGUCCAUAUCGACGGGAUGGUUUGGCACCUCGAUGUCGGCUCGUCGCAUCCUGGGGCUGGAGCAGGUCCCAAGGGUUCGGCUGUUCGCCGAUUAAAGCGGCACGCGAGCUGGGUUCAGAACGUCGUGAGACAGUUUGGUCUCUAUCCUCUGCGCUCGUUGGAAUGCUGAGGAGGCCUGCCCAUAGUACGAGAGGACCUGGGUGGACGAACCUCUGGUAUGCCGGUUGUCACGCCAGUGGCACGGCCGGUUGGCUACGUUCGGAAGGGAUAACCGCUGAAAGCAUCUAAGCGGGAAGCCUGCUCCAAGAUAAGCAUUCCGUGGAACCUUCGAGUUCCUGUAGUCCCCAUGCAGAACACGUGGUCGAUAGGCCGGACGUGGAAGCCCCGCGAGGGGUGGAGCCGACCGGUACUAACGGACGAAAGGCAACACUAA
This 1256-nucleotide ribosomal RNA is filed under the name human gut metagenome. RNAcentral's name for it is "bacterial LSU rRNA". It matches the Rfam family "Bacterial large subunit ribosomal RNA", at positions 1667 to 2925 of the family's 2925-position model. The record is from RNAcentral.